RNAcentral lists this transfer RNA (69 nucleotides) under Myroconger compressus (red eel). RNAcentral's name for it is "tRNA-Val". It matches the Rfam family "tRNA". From Rfam's summary of the family: Transfer RNA (tRNA) molecules are approximately 80 nucleotides in length. The record is from RNAcentral. Lineage: Eukaryota; Metazoa; Chordata; Actinopteri; Anguilliformes; Myrocongridae.
UAGGACGUAGCUAAUAGUAAGCAUCUCCCUUACACCGAGAGGAUCCUCGUGCGAAUCGAGACGUUCUUA